UAACUGCUCUCUGUUUCAAAGAAUUGAAAUUGUUUUGUUUUUGCCUGGUUCUUACAAGCUACUAGCCUAUGCUAUCUGCACCUAAACAUUCACAUAUUGAUUGUUUUCUUGGGAAAUCAUAGAGUUGGAGUAACAGAUGCAUCAUCUCUGUUCAAGGCAACAGGUUGGAGCGUUGGACAUAUGGUUCCUUCUUGGGCAUUUUAUCAAACAU
This 211-nucleotide long non-coding RNA is filed under the name Citrus sinensis (sweet orange). RNAcentral describes it as "long non-coding RNA (CSIN_LNC005236)". Lineage: Eukaryota; Viridiplantae; Streptophyta; Magnoliopsida; Sapindales; Rutaceae. The record is from RNAcentral.